ACGCGUGGAACCUUACCAGGUCUUGACAUCCCAUUGACCGCUAUGGAGACAUAGCUUUCCCUUCGGGGACAGUGGUGACAGGUGGUGCAUGGUUGUCGUCAGCUCGUGUCGUGAGAUGUUGGGUUAAGUCCCGCAACGAGCGCAACCCUUGAUCUUAGUUGCCAGCAUUUAGUUGGGCACUCUAAGGAGACUGCCGGUGACAAACCGGAGGAAGGUGGGGAUGACGUCAAAUCAUCAUGCCCCUUAUGACCUGGGCUACACACGUGCUACAAUGGACGGUACAAACGGUUGCCAACCCGCGAGGGGGAGCUAAUCCGAUAAAACCGUUCUCAGUUCGGAUUGUAGGCUGCAACUCGCCUACAUGAAGCCGGAAUCGCUAGUAAUCGCGGAUCAGCAUGCCGCGGUGAAUACGUUCCCGGGCCUUGUACACACCGCCCGU
This 439-nucleotide ribosomal RNA is filed under the name uncultured bacterium. Its description in RNAcentral is "bacterial SSU rRNA". It matches the Rfam family "Bacterial small subunit ribosomal RNA", at positions 959 to 1397 of the family's 1533-position model. The record is from RNAcentral.